This 214-nucleotide ribosomal RNA is filed under the name uncultured bacterium. RNAcentral's name for it is "partial 16S ribosomal RNA". It matches the Rfam family "Bacterial small subunit ribosomal RNA", at positions 1287 to 1500 of the family's 1533-position model. The record is from RNAcentral.
CCACGUUCGGAUUGAAGGCUGAAAUUCGCCUUCAUGAAGCCGGAAUUGCUAGUAAUGGCAGGUCAGCAUACUGCCGUGAAUACGUUCCCGGGCCUUGUACACACCGCCCGUCACACCAUGAGAGUUGGGAAUACCCGAAGCCUGUGAGCCAACUGUAAAGAGGCAGCAGUCGAAGGUAGAAUCAAUGAUUGGGGUGAAGUCGUAACAAGGUACC